This 461-nucleotide ribosomal RNA is filed under the name uncultured bacterium. RNAcentral's name for it is "bacterial SSU rRNA". It matches the Rfam family "Bacterial small subunit ribosomal RNA", at positions 29 to 507 of the family's 1533-position model. The record is from RNAcentral.
AACUAACGCUGGCGGCGCGUCUUAAACAUGCAAGUCGAACGGUAAGGCCCUUCGGGGGUACACGAGUGGCGAACGGGUGAGUAACACGUAGGUAAUCUACCCUGGGAUGGGGGACAACUCCGGGAAACUGGAGCUAAUACCGCGGAUGUUGGUUAUUCCACGGAAUUUCCAAUUAAAGCCUUCGGGCGUCCCGGGAUGAGCCUGCGGCCCAUUAGCUUGAUGGUGAGGUAACGGCCCACCAUGGCGACAAUGGGUAGCCGGCCUGAGAGGGUGAUCGGCCACACUGGAACUGAGACACGGUCCAGACUCCUACGGGAGGCAGCAGUUAAGAAUCUUGCGCAAUGGGGGAAACCCUGACGCAGCGACGCCGCGUGCGGGAUGAAGGCCUUCGGGUUGUAAACCGCAGUAGACGGGGACGAAAACAAUGACGGUACCCGUUCAAAGCACCGGCUAACUACGUG